RNAcentral lists this ribosomal RNA (626 nucleotides) under Acriopsis javanica. RNAcentral describes it as "eukaryotic LSU rRNA". The stretch from base 285 to 450 matches the Rfam family "5.8S ribosomal RNA". The record is from RNAcentral. Lineage: Eukaryota; Viridiplantae; Streptophyta; Magnoliopsida; Asparagales; Orchidaceae.
GAAGUCGUAACAAGGUUUCCGUAGGUGAACCUGCGGAAGGAUCAUUGUCGAGACCGAAACCACAUCGAGCGAUUCGGAGAACACGUGAAGCGAGCGGCGGCGGCUGCCGUCGCGGGACGACCGUCCCGGCCGUCGCCUCGCCCCCUCCCGGGCGGGCCGCCGCGGCCGAGGACGGGUAAAAACACGAACCGGCGCAGCCCCGCGCCAAGGGAUUAUCGAAAGGCACGAGCCCCACGCCGGGCUCGGUGGCGUGGAGCGCCAUCGCGCUCCAUGCGGAUGGACACGACUCUCGGCAAUGGAUAUCUCGGCUCUCGCAUCGAUGAAGAGCGCAGCGAAAUGCGAUACGUGGUGCGAAUUGCAGAAUCCCGCGAACCAUCGAGUCUUUGAAUGGGUGCGCGCCGGCGGAGGCCCGGAUGUGCAGGGUGGCCCGUCGUGCCGGUCGGUGCGGCGGGCUGAAGAGCGGGCCGUCGUCCCGCCGGCUGCGGGCAACGAGGGGUGGGUGAGAGAUGCGAACGCAGCCCGCGUUGUCUGGUACUGAGCCAGGGGAGGGCGGCGGAGCAUUAAAGGCGAUCCCGACCCACGCGCCGAUCUGCGUGAGCCGGCUUGGAAUGCGACCCCAGGAUGUU